Molecule: ribosomal RNA, 474 nt
Filed under: uncultured bacterium
Lineage: Bacteria
Description: SSU rRNA
Rfam family: Bacterial small subunit ribosomal RNA
Source: RNAcentral
AGGACGAACGCUGGCGGCGUGCUUAACACAUGCAAGUCGAGCGGAAAGGCCCUUCGGGGUACUCGAGCGGCGAACGGGUGAGUAACACGUGAGCAACCUGCCCCUGGCUCUGGGAUAGCUCCGGGAAAACCGGGAUUAAUACCGGAUAUGACCCCCUUCUGCAUGGUGGGGGGUGGAAAGUUUUUCGGCUGGGGAUGGGCUCGCGGCCUAUCAGCUUGUUGGUGGGGUGAUGGCCUACCAAGGCGACGACGGGUAGCCGGCCUGAGAGGGCGGACGGCCACGACUGGGACUGAGACACGGCCCAGACUCCUACGGGAGGCAGCAGUGGGAAUAUUGCGCAAUGGGCGGAAGCCUGACGCAGCGACGCCGCGUGGGGGAUGAAGGCCUUCGGGUUGUAAACCUCUUCAGCAGGGGCGAAGCGAGAGUGACGGUACCUGCAGAAGAAGCGCCGGCUAACUACGUGCCAGCAGCCAC